UAUCAUGUUGAAACAACACAGGUUUUCAUACAAUCACUGAAGUUAAGCAACAUUGAGCAUGGUCAAUACCUAGAUGGGUGACCACUUGGGUAUAACAGGUGCUGUAAG
This is a non-coding RNA of Acanthosepion pharaonis, 108 nucleotides long. The record is from the annotation of a GenBank genome assembly. NCBI's taxonomy places the organism in Eukaryota, Metazoa, Mollusca, Cephalopoda, Sepiida, Sepiidae.